ACGAACGCUGGCGGCGUGCUUAACACAUGCCAGUCGAACGGAAAGGCCCUGCUUUUGUGGGGUGCUCGAGUGGCGAACGGGUGAGUAACACGUGAGUAACCUGUCCUUGACUUUGGGAUAACUUCAGGAAACUGGGGCUAAUACCGGAUAGGAGCUCCUGCUGCAUGGUGGGGGUUGGAAAGUUUCGGCGGUUGGGGAUGGACUCGCGGCUUAUCAGCUUGUUGGUGGGGUAGUGGCUUACCAAGGCUUUGACGGGUAGCCGGCCUGAGAGGGUGACCGGCCACAUUGGGACUGAGAUACGGCCCAGACUCCUACGGGAGGCAGCAGUGGGGAAUAUUGCACAAUGGGCGGAAGCCUGAUGCAGCAACGCCGCGUGCGGGAUGACGGCCUUCGGGUUGUAAACCGCUUUCGCCUGUGACGAAGCGUGAGUGACGGUAAUGGGUAAAGAAGCACCGGCUAACUACGUG
This 467-nucleotide ribosomal RNA is filed under the name uncultured bacterium. Its description in RNAcentral is "partial 16S ribosomal RNA". It matches the Rfam family "Bacterial small subunit ribosomal RNA", at positions 29 to 507 of the family's 1533-position model. The record is from RNAcentral.